AUGGACAUACCACAUUGAAAACACCGGUUCUCGUCCAAUCAUCGAAGUUAAGCAACGUCGGGCCCGGUCAGUACUUGGGAGGGUGACCACUUGGGAACACCGGAUAAUGUAAGCU
Molecule: non-coding RNA, 115 nt
Organism: Cordylochernes scorpioides
Lineage: Eukaryota; Metazoa; Arthropoda; Arachnida; Pseudoscorpiones; Chernetidae
Source: the annotation of a GenBank genome assembly